UAGGGAAUCUUCGGCAAUGGACGAAAGUCUGACCGAGCAACGCCGCGUGAGUGAAGAAGGUUUUCGGAUCGUAAAACUCUGUUGUUAGAGAAGAACAAGGACGUUAGUAACUGAACGUCCCCUGACGGUAUCUAACCAGAAAGCCACGGCUAACUACGUGCCAGCAGCCGCGGUAAUACGUAGGUGGCAAGCGUUGUCCGGAUUUAUUGGGCGUAAAGCGAGCGCAGGCGGUUUCUUAAGUCUGAUGUGAAAGCCCCCGGCUCAACCGGGGAGGGUCAUUGGAAACUGGGAGACUUGAGUGAAGAAGAGGAGAGUGGAAUUCCAUGUGUAGCGGUGAAAUGCGUAGAUAUAUGGAGGAACACCAGUGGCGAAGGCGGCACUCUGGUCUGUAACUGACGCUGAGGCUCGAAAGCGUGGGGAGCAAACAGG
This 429-nucleotide ribosomal RNA is filed under the name Gemmatimonadota bacterium. Its description in RNAcentral is "Gemmatimonadetes bacterium partial 16S ribosomal RNA". It matches the Rfam family "Bacterial small subunit ribosomal RNA", at positions 355 to 776 of the family's 1533-position model. Lineage: Bacteria; Pseudomonadati; Gemmatimonadota. The record is from RNAcentral.